ACGAAGUCUUCGGACUGAGUGGCAGACGGGUGAGUAACACGUGAGAACCUGCCUUAAGGUCGGGGAUAACGGUUGGAAACGACUGCUAAUACCGGAUGUGCCUACGGGUGAAAGAUUUAUUGCCUAAAGAUGGGCUCGCGUCUGAUUAGCUAGUUGGAGUGGUAAUGGCACACCGAGGCGACGACCAGUAGCUGGUCUGAGAGGAUGAUCAGCCACACUGGGACUGAGACACGGCCCAGACUCCUACGGGAGGCAGCAGUGGGGAAUUUUCCGCAAUGGGCGAAAGCCUGACGGAGCAAGACCGCGUGAGGGAGGAAGGCUCUUGGGUUGUAAACCUCUUUUGUCAGGGAAGAACACAAUGACGGUACCUGACGAAUCAGCAUCGGCUAACUCCGUGCCAGCAGCCGCGGUAAUACGGAGGAUGCAAGCGUUAUCCGGAAUUAUUGGGCGUAAAGCGUCCGCAGGUGGUUGUACAAGUCUGCUGUCAAAGCGCGGAGCUUAACUCCGUAAAGGCGGUGGAAACUGUGCGACUAGAGUUCGGUAGGGGUCGCGGGAAUUCCCAGUGUAGCGGUGAAAUGCGUAGAUAUUGGGAAGAACACCGGUGGCGAAAGCGCGCGACUGGACCGAGACUGACACUCAUGGACGAAAGCUAGGGGAGCGAAAGGGAUUAGAUACCCCUGUAGUCCUAGCCGUA
This 694-nucleotide ribosomal RNA is filed under the name uncultured cyanobacterium. RNAcentral describes it as "bacterial SSU rRNA". It matches the Rfam family "Bacterial small subunit ribosomal RNA", at positions 66 to 804 of the family's 1533-position model. The record is from RNAcentral. Lineage: Bacteria; Bacillati; Cyanobacteriota.